RNAcentral lists this ribosomal RNA (598 nucleotides) under Shewanella putrefaciens. RNAcentral describes it as "bacterial SSU rRNA". It matches the Rfam family "Bacterial small subunit ribosomal RNA", at positions 55 to 643 of the family's 1533-position model. The record is from RNAcentral. Lineage: Bacteria; Pseudomonadati; Pseudomonadota; Gammaproteobacteria; Alteromonadales; Shewanellaceae.
AUGCAGUCGAGCGGCAGCACAAGUGAGUUUACUCCUGAGGUGGCGAGCGGCGGACGGGUGAGUAAUGCCUAGGGAUCUGCCCAGUCGAGGGGGAUAACAGUUGGAAACGACUGCUAAUACCGCAUACGCCCUACGGGGGAAAGAGGGGGACCUUCGGGCCUCUCGCGAUUGGAUGAACCUAGGUGGGAUUAGCUAGUUGGUGAGGUAAUGGCUCACCAAGGCGACGAUCCCUAGCUGUUCUGAGAGGAUGAUCAGCCACACUGGGACUGAGACACGGCCCAGACUCCUACGGGAGGCAGCAGUGGGGAAUAUUGCACAAUGGGGGAAACCCUGAUGCAGCCAUGCCGCGUGUGUGAAGAAGGCCUUCGGGUUGUAAAGCACUUUCAGUAGGGAGGAAAGGGUGAGUCUUAAUACGGCUCAUCUGUGACGUUACCUACAGAAGAAGGACCGGCUAACUCCGUGCCAGCAGCCGCGGUAAUACGGAGGGUCCGAGCGUUAAUCGGAAUUACUGGGCGUAAAGCGUGCGCAGGCGGUUUGUUAAGCGAGAUGUGAAAGCCCUGGGCUCAACCUAGGAAUAGCAUUUCGAACUGGCGAACUA